GAAGUUUGAUGGAGAUAACCCAAUUAGGGAAUUCCAAAUUGACCUAAAAUAAUUCCAGGGGAAAAUCUUCCCUGGGUUCAGAAUUUGCAGUUAGAUGUGAACAUCAUAACAGCUAUUUGAUGAUCAUGUAUGAUACUGAAAACAGGA
Molecule: non-coding RNA, 147 nt
Organism: Peromyscus californicus insignis
Lineage: Eukaryota; Metazoa; Chordata; Mammalia; Rodentia; Cricetidae
Product: small Cajal body-specific RNA 16
Exons: 1
Source: RefSeq, a predicted model, not a curated record